AAGCGCUUAAGUCUGAUUCUUCGGAUGAAGACUUUUGUGACUGAGCGGCGGACGGGUGAGUAACGCGUGGGUAACCUGCCUCAUACAGGGGGAUAACAGUUAGAAAUGACUGCUAAUACCGCAUAAGACCACGGUACCGCAUGGUACAGUGGUAAAAACUCCGGUGGUAUGAGAUGGACCCGCGUCUGAUUAGGUAGUUGGUGGGGUAACGGCCUACCAAGCCGACGAUCAGUAGCCGACCUGAGAGGGUGACCGGCCACAUUGGGACUGAGACACGGCCCAAACUCCUACGGGAGGCAGCAGUGGGGAAUAUUGCACAAUGGGGGAAACCCUGAUGCAGCGACGCCGCGUGAGUGAAGAAGUAUUUCGGUAUGUAAAGCUCUAUCAGCAGGGAAGAAGAAAGACGGUACCUGACUAAGAAGCCCCGGCUAACUACGUGCCAGCAGCCGCGGUAAUACGUAGGGGGCAAGCGUUAUCCGGAUUUACUGGGUGUAAAGGGAGCGUAGACGGUGUGGCAAGUCUGAUGUGAAAGGCAUGGGCUCAACCUGUGGACUGCAUUGGAAACUGUCAUACUUGAGUGCCGGAGGGGUAAGCGGAAUUCCUAGUGUAGCGGUGAAAUGCGUAGAUAUUAGGAGGAA
This 638-nucleotide ribosomal RNA is filed under the name uncultured Lachnospiraceae bacterium. RNAcentral's name for it is "bacterial SSU rRNA". It matches the Rfam family "Bacterial small subunit ribosomal RNA", at positions 55 to 706 of the family's 1533-position model. The record is from RNAcentral. Lineage: Bacteria; Bacillati; Bacillota; Clostridia; Lachnospirales; Lachnospiraceae.